RNAcentral lists this ribosomal RNA (449 nucleotides) under uncultured bacterium. RNAcentral describes it as "partial 16S ribosomal RNA". It matches the Rfam family "Bacterial small subunit ribosomal RNA", at positions 28 to 523 of the family's 1533-position model. The record is from RNAcentral.
GGCGAACGCUGGCGGCAGGCCUAACACAUGCAAGUCGAACGAACUCUUCGGAGUUAGUGGCGGACGGGUGAGUAACACGUGGGAACGUGCCUUUAGGUUCGGAAUAACUCAGGGAAACUUGUGCUAAUACCGAAUGUGCCCUUCGGGGGAAAGAUUUAUCGCCUUUAGAGCGGCCCGCGUCUGAUUAGCUAGUUGGUGAGGUAACGGCUCACCAAGGCGACGAUCAGUAGCUGGUCUGAGAGGAUGGCCAGCCACACUGGGACUGAGACACGGACCAGACUCCUACGGGAGGCAGCAGUGGGGAAUCUUGCGCAAUGGGCGAAAGCCUGACGCAGCCAUGCCGCGUGAAUGAUGAAGGUCUUAGGAUUGUAAAAUUCUUUCACCGGGGACGAUAAUGACGGUACCCGGAGAAGAAGCCCCGGCUAACUUCGUGCCAGCAGCCGCAGUAA